GGCGAUGUGGUCCAGUAGCAACGACAGCGGACUGUAAAUCCGCCACCGAAAGGUUUCAGAGGUGCAAGUCCUUUCGUCGCCA
RNAcentral lists this transfer RNA (82 nucleotides) under Lactobacillus hominis. RNAcentral's name for it is "tRNA-Tyr". It matches the Rfam family "tRNA". Rfam says of the family: Transfer RNA (tRNA) molecules are approximately 80 nucleotides in length. The record is from RNAcentral. Lineage: Bacteria; Bacillati; Bacillota; Bacilli; Lactobacillales; Lactobacillaceae.